AGUGAACGCUGGCGGUAGGCCUAACACAUGCAAGUCGAACGGCAGCACAGUAAGAGCUUGCUCUUACGGGUGGCGAGUGGCGGACGGGUGAGGAAUACAUCGGAAUCUACUUUUUCGUGGGUGAUAACGUAGGGAAACUUACGCUAAUACCGCAUACGACCUACGGGUGAAAGCAGGGGAUCUUCGGACCUUUCGCGAUUGAAUGAGCCGAUGUCGGAUUAGCUAGUUGGCGGGGUAAAGGCCCACCAAGGCGACGAUCCGUAGCUGGUCUGAGAGGAUGAUCAGCCACACUGGAACUGAGACACGGUCCAGACUCCUACGGGAGGCAGCAGUGGGGAAUAUUGGACAAUGGGCGCAGGCCUGAUCCAGCCAUACCGCGUGGGUGAAGAAGGCCUUCGGGUUGUAAAGCCCUUUUGUUGGGAAAGAAAAGCAGCAGGUUAAUACCCCGCUGUUCUGACGGUACCCAAAGAAUAAGCACCGGCUAACUUCGUG
RNAcentral lists this ribosomal RNA (492 nucleotides) under uncultured bacterium. RNAcentral describes it as "partial 16S ribosomal RNA". It matches the Rfam family "Bacterial small subunit ribosomal RNA", at positions 29 to 507 of the family's 1533-position model. The record is from RNAcentral.